This 550-nucleotide ribosomal RNA is filed under the name uncultured bacterium. Its description in RNAcentral is "bacterial SSU rRNA". It matches the Rfam family "Bacterial small subunit ribosomal RNA", at positions 356 to 896 of the family's 1533-position model. The record is from RNAcentral.
GAGGGAUUUUGUGCAAUGGGGGUAACCCUGACGCAGCAACGCCGCGUGAGUGAAGAAGGCCUUUGGGUCGUAAAGCUCUGUCAACAGGGAAGAAGUUGCAUCGGAUUAAGAGUUUGAUGUAUUGACGGUACCUGUGGAGGAAGCACCGGCUAACUCCGUGCCAGCAGCCGCGGUAACACGAGGGGUGCAAGCGUUAUUCAGAAUUAUUGGGCGUAAAGUGCGCGCAGGCGGUCUUGUCAGUCAGAUGUGAAAGCCCGGGGCUCAACUCCGGACGUGCAUUUGAAACAGCAGGACUUGAGUACAGGAGAGGAAAGCGGAAUUCCUGGUGUAGAGGUGAAAUUCGUAGAUAUCAGGAGGAACACCGAUGGCGAAGGCAGCUUUCUGGACUGAUACUGACGCUGAGGCGCGAAGGCGUGGGUAGCGAACAGGAUUAGAUACCCUGGUAGUCCACGCGGUAAACGAUGUUCACUAGGUGCAGCGUGUAUUAAAACAUGCUGUGCCGCAGCCAACGCAUUAAGUGAACCGCCUGGGGAGUACGGUCGCAAGAUUA